RNAcentral lists this non-coding RNA (22 nucleotides) under Arabidopsis thaliana (thale cress). Lineage: Eukaryota; Viridiplantae; Streptophyta; Magnoliopsida; Brassicales; Brassicaceae. The record is from RNAcentral.
UAAAGAUGUGCGGUUUAACUGC